This is a long non-coding RNA of Oncorhynchus keta (chum salmon), 1052 nucleotides long. RefSeq lists it as uncharacterized. The transcript has 3 exons. NCBI's taxonomy places the organism in Eukaryota, Metazoa, Chordata, Actinopteri, Salmoniformes, Salmonidae. The record is from RefSeq and is a predicted model, not a curated record.
UCUGGAUAUGGCUGAGACAGAGAAGAGAGAGAGGAGGUCUGGAUAUGGCUGAGCCAGAGAAGAGAGGGAUGAGGUCUGGAUAAGGCUGAGACAGAGAAGAGAGAGAGGAGGUCUGGAUAUGGCUGAGCAAGAGAAGAGAGAGAGGAGGUCUGGAUAUGGCUGAGCCAGAGAAGAGAGAGAGGAGGUCUGGAUAUGGCUGAGCCAGAGAAGAGAGGGAUGAGGUCUGGAUAAGGCUGAGACAGAGAAGAGAGAGAGGAGGUCUGGAUAUGGCUGAGCCAGAGAAGAGAGGGAUGAGGUCUGGAUAAGGCUGAGCCAGAGAAGAGAGAGAGGAGGUCUGGAUAUGGCUGAGGCAGAGAAGAGAGAGAGGAGGUCUGGAUAUGGCUGAGCCAGAGAAGAGAGGGAUGAGGUCUGGAUAAGGCUGAGACAGAGAAGAGAGAGAGGAGGUCUGGAUAUGGCUGAGCCAGAGAAGAGAGGGAUGAGGUCUAGAUAAGGCUGAGACAGAGAAGAGAAGGAGGAGGUCUGGAUAUGGCUGAGCCAGAGAAGAGAGGGAUGAGGUCUAGAUAAGGCUGAGACAGAGAAGAGAAGGAGGAGGUCUGGAUAUGGCUGAGCCAGAGAAGAGAGGGAUGAGGUCUGGAUAAGGCUGAGACAGAGAAGAGAGGGAGGAGGUCUGGAUAUGGCUGAGCCAGAGAAGAGAGGGAUGAGGUCUGGAUAUGGCUGAGACAGAGAAGAGAGAGAGGAGGUCUGGAUAUGGCUGAGACAGAGAAGAGAGGGAUGAGGUCUGGAUAUGGCUGAGACAGAGAAGAGAGAGAGGAGGUCUGGAUAUGGCUGAGACAGAGAAGAGAGGGAUGAGGUCUGGAUAUGGCUGAGCCAGAGAAGAGAGAGAGGAGGUCUGGAUAUGGCUGAGACAGAGAAGAGAGAGAGGAGGUCUGGAUAUGGCUGAGACAGAGAAGAGAGAGAGGAGGUCUGGAUAUGGCUGAGACAGAGAAGAGAGAGAGGAGGUCUGGAUAUGGCUGAGCCAGAGAAGAGAGAGAGGAGGUCUGGAUAUGGCUGAG